AUGAACGCUGGCCGCGUGCCUAAUACAUGCAAGUCGAGCGAACGGACGAGAAGCUUGCUUCUCUGAUGUUAGCGGCGGACGGGUGAGUAACACGUGGAUAACCUACCUAUAAGACUGGGAUAACUUCGGGAAACCGUAGCUAAUACCGGAUAAUAUUUUGAACCGCAUGGUUCAAAAGUGAAAGACGGUCUUGCUGUCACUUAUAGAUGGAUCCGCGCUGCAUUAGCUAGUUGGUAAGGUAACGGCUUACCAAGGCAACGAUGCAUAGCCGACCUGAGAGGGUGAUCGGCCACACGGGAACUGAGACACGGUCCAGACUCCUACGGGAGGCAGCAGUAGGGAAUCUUCCGCAAUGGGCGAAAGCCUGACGGAGCAACGCCGCGUGAGUGAUGAAGGUCUUCGGAUCGUAAAACUCUGUUAUUAGGGAAGAACAUAUGUGUAAGUAACUGUGCACAUCUUGACGGUACCUAAUCAGAAAGCCACGGCUAACUACGUG
Molecule: ribosomal RNA, 496 nt
Filed under: uncultured bacterium
Lineage: Bacteria
Description: partial 16S ribosomal RNA
Rfam family: Bacterial small subunit ribosomal RNA
Source: RNAcentral